UCAUGCCAUCCGAGCCAACGUCGGAUCAAUCAAGGUGCUCCCAUCACGGUGGAGUUAAUUAGCACGCCGGCGUUGCUGACAGACAGGGAGGGGGUUCGCUUGCACGCGCAGGCUGAUGAGCGCUCACUAUACGUGCCCCCGUCAACCACGCGGUCAGCUGCUACAGCCUACUACUACCGGACCAGCAUCGCUGGGUUGGGUAUUCCGUUUAAACCGAC
This 218-nucleotide long non-coding RNA is filed under the name Setaria italica (foxtail millet). Its description in RNAcentral is "long non-coding RNA (SITA_LNC002838)". Lineage: Eukaryota; Viridiplantae; Streptophyta; Magnoliopsida; Poales; Poaceae. The record is from RNAcentral.